CUUGGUGCCAUUUCCGGGGAGGUCACACCUGUUCCCAUCCCGAACACAGCCGUUAAGCUCCCACGGGCCGAUGGUAGUGCGAUUGCGCGAGAGUAGGUAGGCGCCAGGA
Molecule: ribosomal RNA, 109 nt
Filed under: Candidatus Parcubacteria bacterium
Lineage: Bacteria; Candidatus Parcubacteria
Source: RNAcentral